AUUGAACGCUGGCGGCAGGCCUAACACAUGCAAGUCGAGCGGAUGAAGGGAGCUUGCUCCUGGAUUCAGCGGCGGACGGGUGAGUAAUGCCUAGGAAUCUGCCUGGUAGUGGGGGAUAACGUCCGGAAACGGGCGCUAAUACCGCAUACGUCCUGAGGGAGAAAGGGGGGGAUCUUCGGACCUCACGCUAUCAGAUGAGCCUAGGUCGGAUUAGCUAGUUGGUGGGGUAAAGGCCUACCAAGGCGACGAUCCGUAACUGGUCUGAGAGGACGAUCAGUCACACUGGAACUGAGACACGGUCCAGACUCCUACGGGAGGCAGCAGUAGGGAAUAUUGGACAAUGGGCGAAAGCCUGAUCCAGCAAUGCCGCGUGUGUGAAGAAGGUCUUCGGAUUGUAAAGCACUUUUAGUUGGGAGGAAGAGCAGUAAGAUAAUACCUUGCUGUUUUGACGGUACCAACAGAAUAAGCACCGGCUAACUACGUG
RNAcentral lists this ribosomal RNA (484 nucleotides) under uncultured bacterium. Its description in RNAcentral is "partial 16S ribosomal RNA". It matches the Rfam family "Bacterial small subunit ribosomal RNA", at positions 30 to 507 of the family's 1533-position model. The record is from RNAcentral.